GAUGAACGCUGGCGGCGUGCCUAAUACAUGCAAGUCGAGCGAACAGAUGAGGAGCUUGCUCCUCUGACGUUAGCGGAGCACGGGUGAGUAACACGUGGAUCACCUACCUAUCAGACUGGGAUAACUUCGGGACACCGGCGCUAAUCCCGGAUAAUCUCUUGCACCGCAUGGUUCGAUAGUGAAAGACGGUUUUGCUGUCACCUCUCGCUGGAUCUCCGCCGCAUUAGCUAGUUGGUAGGGUCACAGCUUUUCAAGGCAACGAUGCGUAACCGACGUGCGAGGCUGGUCGGCCACACGAGAACGGAGACACGGUCCAGACUCCUACGGGAGGCAGCAGUAGGGAAUCUUCCGCAAUAGGCGAAAGCCUGACGGAGCAACGCCGCGUGAGUGAUGAAGGUCUUCGGAGCGGAAAACUCUGUUAUGAGGGAAGAACAAAUUUGUAAGUAACUAUGCACGUCGUGACGGUACCUAAUCAGAAAGCCACGGCUAACUACGUG
This 497-nucleotide ribosomal RNA is filed under the name uncultured bacterium. Its description in RNAcentral is "partial 16S ribosomal RNA". It matches the Rfam family "Bacterial small subunit ribosomal RNA", at positions 28 to 507 of the family's 1533-position model. The record is from RNAcentral.